ACUGAGGCAAAUAUAGCUAUCUUUGUGCCCUGAGAGCAUCACCCAACAACCACACCCCUCCACAGAAGCCCCUAGAUCACAGCUCCUCGCCAUGGACUGGACCUGGAGGAUCCUCUUCUUGGUGGCAGCAGCAACAGGUGCCCAUUCCCAGGUGCAGCUGGUGCAGUCUGGGGCUGAGGUGAAGCAGCCGGGGGCCUCAGUGAAGGUCUCCUGCAAGGCUUCUGGAUACACCUUCACUAGCUAUAGUAUGAACUGGGUGCGACAGGCCCAUGGACAACGGCUUGAGUGGAUCGGAUGGAUCAACACCGAAACCGGGAACCCAACGUAUGCCCAGGGCUUCAAAGAACGAUUUACCUUCUCCAUGGACACCUCUAUCAGCACGGCAUAUCUGCAGAUCAGCAGCCUAAAGGCUGAGGACACUGCCGUGUAUUACUGUGUGAGAAACACAGUGUGGAAACCCAUAUGCUGAGAGUGUCAGAAACCCUGAGGGAGGAGGCAGCUGUGCUGAUCUGAGACAGUGA
Piliocolobus tephrosceles (Ugandan red Colobus) is the source of this 521-nucleotide non-coding RNA. Lineage: Eukaryota; Metazoa; Chordata; Mammalia; Primates; Cercopithecidae. The record is from the annotation of a RefSeq genome assembly.